RNAcentral lists this unclassified non-coding RNA (253 nucleotides) under uncultured Gammaproteobacteria bacterium. RNAcentral's name for it is "contains 16S-23S intergenic spacer region". It matches the Rfam family "Bacterial small subunit ribosomal RNA", at positions 524 to 776 of the family's 1533-position model. The record is from RNAcentral. Lineage: Bacteria; Pseudomonadati; Pseudomonadota; Gammaproteobacteria.
UACAGAGGGUGCGAGCGUUAAUCGGAAUGACUGGGCGUAAAGGGCGCGUAGGCGGAUAUACAAGUCAGAUGUGAAAGUCCCGGGCUUAACCUGGGGAGGCCAUUUGAAACUGUAUAACUAGAGUGAAGGAGAGGGUAACGGAAUUUCCGUUGUAGCGGUGAAAUGCGUAGAUAUCGGAAAGAACACCGGUGGCGAAGGCGGUUACCUGGACUUCAACUGACGCUGAGGCGCGAAAGCGUGGGGAGCAAACAGG